Molecule: ribosomal RNA, 453 nt
Filed under: uncultured Porphyromonadaceae bacterium
Lineage: Bacteria; Pseudomonadati; Bacteroidota; Bacteroidia; Bacteroidales; Porphyromonadaceae
Description: partial 16S ribosomal RNA
Rfam family: Bacterial small subunit ribosomal RNA
Source: RNAcentral
ACGGAAGGCAGCAGUGAGGAAUAUUGGUCAAUGGGCGAGAGCCUGAACCAGCCAAGUCGCGUGAAGGAUGAAGGUUCUAUGGAUUGUAAACUUCUUUUGUUCGAGGGUAAAGUGAGGGAUGCGUCUCUUAUUGCAAGUAUCGAACGAAUAAGCAUCGGCUAACUCCGUGCCAGCAGCCGCGGUAAUACGGAGGAUGCGAGCGUUAUCCGGAUUUAUUGGGUUUAAAGGGUGCGUAGGCGGGAUGUUAAGUCAGCGGUGAAAGCGUGUAGCUCAACUAUACCAAGCCGUUGAAACUGGCGUUCUUGAGUGUAAACGAGGUAGGCGGAAUGUGACGUGUAGCGGUGAAAUGCUUAGAUAUGUCACAGAACCCCGCUUGCGAAGGCAACUUACCAGGAUACAACUGACGCUGAGGCACGAAAGCGUGGGUAUCAAACAGGAUUAGAUACCCUGGUA